This 497-nucleotide ribosomal RNA is filed under the name uncultured bacterium. RNAcentral describes it as "partial 16S ribosomal RNA". It matches the Rfam family "Bacterial small subunit ribosomal RNA", at positions 28 to 507 of the family's 1533-position model. The record is from RNAcentral.
GAUGAACGCUGGCGGCGUGCCUAAUACAUGCAAGUCGGGCGAACGGACGAGAAGCUUGCUUCUCUGAUGUUAGCGGCGGACGGGUGAGUAACACGUGGAUAACCUACCUAUAAGACUGGGAUAACUUCGGGAAACCGGAGCUAAUACCGGAUAAUAUUUUGAACCGCAUGGUUCAAAAGUGAAAGACGGUCUUGCUGUCACUUAUAGAUGGAUCCGCGCUGCAUUAGCUAGUUGGUAAGGUAACGGCCUACCAAGGCAACGAUGCAUAGCCGACCUGAGAGGGUGAUCGGCCACACUGGAACUGAGACACGGUCCAGACUCCUACGGGAGGCAGCAGUAGGGAAUCUUCCGCAAUGGGCGAAAGCCUGACGGAGCAACGCCGCGUGAGUGAUGAAGGUCUUCGGAUCGUAAAACUCUGUUAUUAGGGAAGAACAUAUGUGUAAGUAACUGUGCACAUCUUGACGGUACCUAAUCAGAAAGCCACGGCUAACUACGUG